This 71-nucleotide microRNA precursor is filed under the name Myotis brandtii (Brandt's bat). RNAcentral's name for it is "mir-9193 microRNA precursor family". It matches the Rfam family "mir-9193 microRNA precursor family". Lineage: Eukaryota; Metazoa; Chordata; Mammalia; Chiroptera; Vespertilionidae. The record is from Rfam by way of RNAcentral.
CAGGGGGGGGGGUCCCUCAGCCCAGAUUGUGAGAGGGCACAGGCCAGGCCAAGGGACCCCACAGGUGCACA